This 253-nucleotide ribosomal RNA is filed under the name uncultured bacterium. RNAcentral's name for it is "partial 16S ribosomal RNA". It matches the Rfam family "Bacterial small subunit ribosomal RNA", at positions 524 to 776 of the family's 1533-position model. The record is from RNAcentral.
UACGUAGGGGGCGAGCGUUGUCCGGAAUCAUUGGGCGUAAAGAGCGUGUAGGCGGCCCGAUAAGUCUGGUGUGAAAUCUUGAGGCUCAACCUCAAGCUGUCAUCGGAUACUGUCGGGCUAGAGUCCGGAAGAGGAGAGUGGAAUUCCUGGUGUAGCGGUGGAAUGCGCAGAUAUCAGGAGGAACAUCCGUGGCGAAGGCGGCUCUCUGGUACGGUACUGACGCUGAGACGCGAAAGCGUGGGGAGCGAACAGG